UCAGGACGAACGCUGGCGGCGUGCUUAACACAUGCAAGUCGAACGAUGAUCCGGUGCUUGCACCGGGGAUUAGUGGCGAACGGGUGAGUAACACGUGAGUAACCUGCCCUUGACUCUGGGAUAAGCCUGGGAAACCGGGUCUAAUACCGGAUAUGACUUCUCACCGCAUGGUGGGGGGUGGAAAGAUUUUUUGGUUUUGGAUGGACUCGCGGCCUAUCAGCUUGUUGGUGGGGUAAUGGCCUACCAAGGCGACGACGGGUAGCCGGCCUGAGAGGGUGACCGGCCACACUGGGACUGAGACACGGCCCAGACUCCUACGGGAGGCAGCAGUGGGGAAUAUUGCACAAUGGGCGCAAGCCUGAUGCAGCGACGCCGCGUGAGGGAUGACGGCCUUCGGGUUGUAAACCUCUUUCAGCAGGGAAGAAGCGAAAGUGACGGUACCUGCAG
This 447-nucleotide ribosomal RNA is filed under the name soil bacterium 13V-02. RNAcentral describes it as "bacterial SSU rRNA". It matches the Rfam family "Bacterial small subunit ribosomal RNA", at positions 24 to 484 of the family's 1533-position model. The record is from RNAcentral.